GGAGGGGUGCCGGAGUGGUUGAACGGGGCGGUCUCGAAAACCGUUGUGCCCUUUGCAGGGCACCGUGGGUUCGAAUCCCACCCCCUCCG
This 89-nucleotide transfer RNA is filed under the name Rhodothermaceae bacterium. RNAcentral's name for it is "tRNA-Ser". It matches the Rfam family "tRNA". From Rfam's summary of the family: Transfer RNA (tRNA) molecules are approximately 80 nucleotides in length. The record is from RNAcentral. Lineage: Bacteria; Pseudomonadati; Rhodothermota; Rhodothermia; Rhodothermales; Rhodothermaceae.